RNAcentral lists this ribosomal RNA (470 nucleotides) under uncultured bacterium. RNAcentral describes it as "partial 16S ribosomal RNA". It matches the Rfam family "Bacterial small subunit ribosomal RNA", at positions 356 to 818 of the family's 1533-position model. The record is from RNAcentral.
AGGGAAUCUUCGGCAAUGGACGAAAGUCUGACCGAGCAACGCCGCGUGAGUGAAGAAGGUUUUCGGAUCGUAAAACUCUGUUGUUAGAGAAGAACGUUGCAUAGAGUGGAAAAUUAUGCAAGUGACGGUAUCUAACCAGAAAGGGACGGCUAACUACGUGCCAGCAGCCGCGGUAAUACGUAGGUCCCGAGCGUUGUCCGGAUUUAUUGGGCGUAAAGCGAGCGCAGGUGGUUUAAUAAGUCUGAUGUAAAAGGCAGUGGCUCAACCAUUGUGUGCAUUGGAAACUGUUAGACUUGAGUGCAGUAGAGGAGAGUGGAAUUCCAUGUGUAGCGGUGAAAUGCGUAGAUAUAUGGAGGAACACCGGUGGCGAAAGCGGCUCUCUGGACUGUCACUGACACUGAGGCUCGAAAGCGUGGGUAGCAAACAGGAUUAGAUACCCUGGUAGUCCACGCCGUAAACGAUGAGUGCUA